Molecule: ribosomal RNA, 301 nt
Filed under: uncultured bacterium
Lineage: Bacteria
Description: partial 16S ribosomal RNA
Rfam family: Bacterial small subunit ribosomal RNA
Source: RNAcentral
CAGCCGCCGCGGUAAUACGUAGGUGGCAAGCGUUGUCCGGAAUUAUUGGGCGUAAAGGGCUCGCAGGCGGUUUCUUAAGUCUGAUGUGAAAGCCCCGGCUCAACCGGGGAGGGUCAUUGGAAACUGGGAAACUUGAGUGCAGAAGAGGAGAGUGGAAUUCCACGUGUAGCGGUGAAAUGCGUAGAGAUGUGGAGGAACACCAGUGGCGAAGGCGACUCUCUGGUCUGUAACUGACGCUGAGGAGCGAAAGCGUGGGGAGCGAACAGGAUUAGAUACCCCGGUAGUCCCUGUCUCUUAUACA